AGUGAACGCUGGCGGUAGGCCUAACACAUGCAAGUCGAACGGCAGCACAGUAAGAGCUUGCUCUUACGGGUGGCGAGUGGCGGACGGGUGAGGAAUACAUCGGAGUCUACUUUUUCGUGGGGGAUAACGUAGGGAAACUUACGCUAAUACCGCAUACGACCUACGGGUGAAAGCAGGGGAUCUUCGGACCUUGCGCGAUUGAAUGAGCCGAUGUCGGAUUAGCUAGUUGGCGGGGUAAAGGCCCACCAAGGCGACGAUCCGUAGCUGGUCUGAGAGGAUGAUCAGCCACACUGGAACUGAGACACGGUCCAGACUCCUACGGGAGGCAGCAGUGGGGAAUAUUGGACAAUGGGCGCAAGCCUGAUCCAGCCAUACCGCGUGGGUGAAGAAGGCCUUCGGGUUGUAAAGCCCUUUUGUUGGGAAAGAAAAGCAGCAGGUUAAUACCCCGCUGUUCUGACGGUGCCCAAAGAAUAAGCACCGGCUAACUUCGUG
This 492-nucleotide ribosomal RNA is filed under the name uncultured bacterium. RNAcentral describes it as "partial 16S ribosomal RNA". It matches the Rfam family "Bacterial small subunit ribosomal RNA", at positions 29 to 507 of the family's 1533-position model. The record is from RNAcentral.